ACACCUAUGGUGAAGCGGUUAUCAUGCUUGCCUUCCAUGACGGAAAAUGAUUUGACUAGCAAGCGGCAGGGGUUCGACUCCCCUUGGGUGUA
Non-coding RNA from Mycena maculata, 92 nucleotides. The record is from the annotation of a GenBank genome assembly. NCBI's taxonomy places the organism in Eukaryota, Fungi, Basidiomycota, Agaricomycetes, Agaricales, Mycenaceae.